This 615-nucleotide long non-coding RNA is filed under the name Pan troglodytes (chimpanzee). Its description in RNAcentral is "long non-coding RNA NONPTRT005348". The record is from RNAcentral. Lineage: Eukaryota; Metazoa; Chordata; Mammalia; Primates; Hominidae.
CCUGGCUAAUUUUGUAUUUUUAGUCAAGACGGGGUUUCUCCAUGUUGGUCAGGCUGGUCUUGAACUCCUGACCUCCGGUGAUCUGCCUGCCUCGGCCUCCCAAAGUGCUGGGAUUAUAGCCAUGAGCCACUGCACCCGGCCAUUAGUCAUUCUUUGAAAUUUAAAUUGUUUCCAGGAUGGGGUUCAAAUUGUGAAGCUGACAACUUUUCAUGUUUUACAAUUAGUCUAAGAGACCACUUCUUGGCUAAAUUAUUAUAUCAAAUAUGUGCCCAUUGACUAUCAUCUGUGAAUAAAGAAAGACAAUAUUUAGCAGCACCUGAUUAAUGUUUAUCAGUGAAUAUUUAGUUAGCACUUAAUAUACAUCAACUAUUAAGCAUUAAAGGAAAUUUUACAAUAAGAAGAUAAUUCAGGCCGGGGCACAGUGGCUCACACCUGUAAUCCCAACACUCUGGGAGGCUGAGGCAGGUGGAUUGCUUGAGUCCAGGAGUUCAAGACCAGCCUGGGCAAAAUAGCGAGACUCCAUAUCUUUUAAAGGAAAAAAAAAAAAAAAGAUGAGCUAGGCAUAGUGGUGCACACCUGUAGUCCCAGCUACUUGGGAAGUUGGGGUGGGAGGAU